AUGGAGCAGAAAGAACGGACAUUGCUACUUAAGCAAGAGGGAAGACCCGACGAGGCCAUUAUGCUUACCUUGCUCGAGCGCAUCAACCCCGACCAUGGCACCACAUUCACAGUCUUGAGAUGCCUUUGUUCAGCCUGUACGGACAUUUCCAGAAAUGGUGUUUCCUCUCAUGUAAAGAGCUCCAGCCUGAAAGUGAAGAAGUCUGGAGUGUAUAUGUAG
RNAcentral lists this ribosomal RNA (219 nucleotides) under Triticum aestivum (bread wheat). RNAcentral describes it as "partial small subunit ribosomal RNA". The record is from RNAcentral. Lineage: Eukaryota; Viridiplantae; Streptophyta; Magnoliopsida; Poales; Poaceae.